This 447-nucleotide ribosomal RNA is filed under the name Rhizobium leguminosarum. RNAcentral describes it as "bacterial SSU rRNA". It matches the Rfam family "Bacterial small subunit ribosomal RNA", at positions 32 to 527 of the family's 1533-position model. Lineage: Bacteria; Pseudomonadati; Pseudomonadota; Alphaproteobacteria; Hyphomicrobiales; Rhizobiaceae. The record is from RNAcentral.
AACGCUGGCGGCAGGCUUAACACAUGCAAGUCGAGCGCCCCGCAAGGGGAGCGGCAGACGGGUGAGUAACGCGUGGGAAUCUACCCUUGACUACGGAAUAACGCAGGGAAACUUGUGCUAAUACCGUAUGUGUCCUUCGGGAGAAAGAUUUAUCGGUCAAGGAUGAGCCCGCGUUGGAUUAGCUAGUUGGUGGGGUAAAGGCCUACCAAGGCGACGAUCCAUAGCUGGUCUGAGAGGAUGAUCAGCCACAUUGGGACUGAGACACGGCCCAAACUCCUACGGGAGGCAGCAGUGGGGAAUAUUGGACAAUGGGCGCAAGCCUGAUCCAGCCAUGCCGCGUGAGUGAUGAAGGCCCUAGGGUUGUAAAGCUCUUUCACCGGAGAAGAUAAUGACGGUAUCCGGAGAAGAAGCCCCGGCUAACUUCGUGCCAGCCGCCGCGGUAAUACA